This 396-nucleotide ribosomal RNA is filed under the name Aulosira sp. K11. Its description in RNAcentral is "bacterial SSU rRNA". It matches the Rfam family "Bacterial small subunit ribosomal RNA", at positions 368 to 778 of the family's 1533-position model. The record is from RNAcentral. Lineage: Bacteria; Bacillati; Cyanobacteriota; Cyanophyceae; Nostocales; Fortieaceae.
GCAAUGGGCGAAAGCCUGACGGAGCAAUACCGCGUGAGGGAGGAAGGCUCUUGGGUUGUAAACCUCUUUUCUCAGGGAAGAAAAAAAUGACGGUACCUGAGGAAUAAGCAUCGGCUAACUCCGUGCCAGCAGCCGCGGUAAUACGGAGGAUGCAAGCGUUAUCCGGAAUGAUUGGGCGUAAAGCGUCCGCAGGUGGCGAUGAAAGUCUGCUGUUAAAGAGUGAGGCUCAACCUCAUAAAAGCAGUGGAAACUACAUAGCUAGAGUACGUUCGGGGCAGAGGGAAUUCCUGGUGUAGCGGUGAAAUGCGUAGAGAUCAGGAAGAACACCGGUGGCGAAAGCGCUCUGCUAGGCCUGUACUGACACUGAGGGACGAAAGCUAGGGGAGCGAAUGGGAU